GAUGAACGCUGGCGGCGUGCCUAACACAUUCAAGUCGAACGGAGUUACUUCAAUUGAUCCUUCGGGUGAUUUUGUUUUAACUUAGUGGCGGACGGGUGAGUAACGCGUGAGCAACCUGCCUCUGCGUGGGGGAUAACGACUGGAAACGGUCGCUAAUACCGCAUAACGUAGUGAGAUCGCAUGUUCUUGCUACCAAAGAUUUAUUGCGCAGAGAUGGGCUCGCGUCUGAUUAGAUAGUUGGUGGGGUAACGGCCUACCAAGUCUGCGAUCAGUAGCCGGACUGAGAGGUUGAACGGCCACAUUGGAACUGAGAAACGGUCCAGACUCCUACGGGAGGCAGCAGUGGGGAAUAUUGGGCAAUGGGCGAAAGCCUGACCCAGCGACGCCGCGUGCGGGAAGACGGUACUUCGGAUUGUAAACCGCUGUUGAUAGGGAAGAACAAUGACGGUACCUAUCGAGGAAGUCACGGCUAACUACGUG
Molecule: ribosomal RNA, 480 nt
Filed under: uncultured bacterium
Lineage: Bacteria
Description: bacterial SSU rRNA
Rfam family: Bacterial small subunit ribosomal RNA
Source: RNAcentral